Esox lucius (northern pike) is the source of this 540-nucleotide long non-coding RNA. Lineage: Eukaryota; Metazoa; Chordata; Actinopteri; Esociformes; Esocidae. The record is from Ensembl.
CAGAGGUGCAACACAGGCUGCAGAAAACGUGUUCAAUUUAGAAAGAAGCAGUAUGCAUGAAAACGAAUAGGUAACACCAAAUGUUUUGCUACAAUCUAUAUAGCUUACAAUAUUAUACAUAUCUACAUUAUGCCUAGCAGCUACAGACCAUACCUGCUCUAGCCGGCUAGUGCGUCUUUGCGCUCUCUCUUCCCGCUGAAAAGAGUGCCUCCUCUUGGUUGUGGAUCUGGUUGCCGCUUGAGAGAUACCUUGGCCAGAGCAUAACUGGUUAUCUUCACCCAAGAGACCUACUGUUGGUCAAUCGUUUUGGCUUUAAAGAAGUUGCAUCGAUUCCAGAAAACCAGGAAAAUGUUGAGCCAUCUGUAGACUUCAGAGCUGAACCAGAUUUCUACCCAGUAAUCCAGACUCCACUUCACAGAGCCAAGAGUUUGAGUACAAGGAAGUGAUGUUAUUUGUGACGUUUUUUGUCUUGGAAACUAUUGCUUCUAAUUAAGAUUAGAAAUCCUUUUAUCCAUAAUCUGUUUUUCAUUAUGGCACUUG